UGGGGAAUAUUGCACAAUGGGGGAAACCCUGAUGCAGCGACGCCGCGUGAGCGAAGAAGGUUUUCGAAUCGUAAAGCUCUGUCCUAUGAGAAGAUAAUGACGGUAUCAUAGGAGGAAGCCCCGGCUAAAUACGUGCCAGCAGCCGCGGUAAUACGUAUGGGGCGAGCGUUGUCCGGAAUUAUUGGGCGUAAAGGGCUUGUAGGCGGUUGGCCGCGUCUGCCGUGAAAUCCUCUGGCUUAACUGGGGGCGUGCGGUGGGUACGGGUUGACUUGAGUGCGGUAGGGGAGACUGGAAUUCCUGGUGUAGCGGUGGAAUGCGCAGAUAUCAGGAGGAACACCAGUGGCGAAGGCGGGUCUCUGGGCCGUUACUGACGCUGAGGAGCGAAAGCGUGGGGAGCGAACAGG
Molecule: ribosomal RNA, 404 nt
Filed under: Verrucomicrobiota bacterium
Lineage: Bacteria; Pseudomonadati; Verrucomicrobiota
Description: Verrucomicrobia bacterium partial 16S ribosomal RNA
Rfam family: Bacterial small subunit ribosomal RNA
Source: RNAcentral